GUAGACACCAAAUUUUUGUCAAUUUUUAAUAUUUUCUCAAGAUUUUUCUAUUUAAUGAAUCAUUUAUUUUCUAGCAUUUUAAUGUGCAUUUUCUUAUUUUUUGCAAGUUUGUUUAGAAAAAAAAUAAACAAAACAAAACAAAAAAAAGAGAAAACUAAAAAAUCAAAAAAUCAACAUAAUCAUUUUGUUUCACCAAAAUCACUUAACCCAUUCUUACACUCCACUUUCAGGACCUUUCUUUUCAUUAGCUAAGAAAUCAUCAUUUUGGUGAAUAACACACAGAAGCUCCACUUUCUCUCCCAAUAUACAUCUCUCGGGUCUCUCCCUCACAGGAGAAGGAAGAAAAGGAAAAAAAUUUUCCCUUCCUCUCUCGGCUAGCUCUUAACAGACAAGAAACAAAAACAGACACAAGAAAAAAAAUUCUCUCGGUUCUCUCUCUGGUCUCAACCGAAAAAAGAAAAAAAGAGAAAAGCUCCUCACCUCACUCUCUCCUUCUCUCGGACUUGGGCAGAAGAAAGAAGACAAGAGGAACCAAAAAAAAAGGGCUCCCUCUACACAUUUUCUUCCACAAAAUCCAAACACAAAGAAGGGAAAAGGCAGCUAUCAGUCAAGGCUUGGAAAUUUCAUCAAAACUUCAACCGAAAGGUUUUCAUAUUUAUUGAGGUAUACUUUUAGUUUUUUUUGUCAUAUUAAAUCAAUGCUUCAUUGUUUAGUUUUCUUUCGUUUCUGCUGGCUGCCUUGCAUUGUUGUUGUUGUAUUGUUAAAAUUGGGAAAUGGCAUGAACCAGAUUUAGGAAAAGGGAAUGUUUCUUGUGAAUGCAUGUUAAUUGUUUGAAAAAAUGCCAAAAU
Molecule: long non-coding RNA, 848 nt
Filed under: Coffea arabica (coffee)
Lineage: Eukaryota; Viridiplantae; Streptophyta; Magnoliopsida; Gentianales; Rubiaceae
Description: long non-coding RNA (CARA_LNC008420)
Source: RNAcentral